AGGGGGGGAGGAACGCCUUAGUCCCUUUUGCUCUUCUGUCAUGUAAGGUUGCAGUGGAAAAGCUCCAUCUUCUGUGCACAGAUUCCCAGCCCAUGGAUGUGGUGGGCUGACUCAGCAGUCUUCUAGAAGGUUGCAGAUGUGGUAUGACUUCAGCAUGGGGGUCAGUCACAAUUGUCUAAUCCUAUUAGUUUCCCAUGAGGGGAAAAAAAAAGUAUCACUAACUGUAUAGGAAAUGUUAGCAGGUGUUUGAUCCAUGCAGCAGAAUUUGUCCAGGGCCUUCCAGCCUUUCUCUACUGGGUUAAACUAGUAUCUGAAGAAACACAAAACACUUGCCCUUGAGUUGGGAUGGCUCCAGAAACAAUGCUCUUAGUGGGUUUUUCAAAGAUGUAGCCAAAAGCAAUUCCAGACAGGUGGAGAGGGUGGGUUUUAGAUUACUCUUUCUGCUGUUUGAAGUUCCCCUGGGAUAAAUACUAUGGAUCAACAGCAGUGCCCCUUGGCCCCUUGCUCUGAACCUUGAGUGAUCCAUUCCAAGAGCCAGCUCAGUCCAAACCAGAGCUCCCUGUCAAGAUGAUCUCUGUCUGUAAAAGUGAUCAUACAUCGAUCACAGACUAAGCAGCUUCCAGAGUAAGUCCUGUUUGUCUUUAAGAUCCUCAUGUUAAGGGCAGGAUCUCUGUGCUAUUUAUUCUGAAUCCCCAGCACCUGCUGCAGUCCUGGCCCACAGUAGGUGUCAACAUCUGCUGGAAGGAUGAAUAGAUGGAUGAAUGAAGCUAGACUGGGACUAGUUCCAGCUGUCUCCAGUCCUGCAUAUCUGGUGUUUGUGGGUGCACAGUGCUGUAGCUUAGCAAUGAGAGACAACAUGACAGAGCCCUCAAGAGUGCAGAGGCUACAAGCUUGUAGAGUGAGACACAUCUGGGUCCUAAUUUCACUCUACGACUUGUUAGUUAUGUGACUUCAGACCAGUCACUUGAUCGUUUCCUCAUGUACGAAAUGAGCAUAAUAAAAUCUACCUCAUUUGGCUAUCAGUAGAAUAAAAAUCAGAUUACUAACCUAUAAAUUAUUUAGCAAAGUCCCUAGCACAUAGUAAGCAAUGAACAAAUGGGCCAUCUGGGAUUCUAUGCAUCUCUACCCCAGAUGCUCUAGGUCCAGAGAUCACACACCACUGUUUCUAGAGGGGGUAGCUUUGGGAAUCCUGAAGUCAGCUAGUGUAGUUGCUGUGCUCAACAUUACCCUGGCAGGCAAGUAGGGCUGUGAAUAAUGAGUGAAAGGCUCUGAGGACACAUGUGUGGGGACAAGGUAAGGGCAAGGUAUGAUGAGGUCACACUGAGCCGGUAACAGACCUGCCGGAUUCUCAGGAUAAGAGUUAUGGUUGAAUUCAUAGAAGAUGAGGUGUGGAAGGGAACUUCAUCUGGGUCUACUCUGGGCCUUAAUUUGAUGGGUCUUCCUCAUCAAUCAAGGCAUGUUUCUGCUCUGUAGGGAUGGUCCUUCUCUGCCAAAUGACUUUAUGGGACCAUUGUGACUGUUAAAUUUGAUUCAGGCAAGAUGCACCACUGAGCAAAUUUUAUUGUGAGUUCUCUGUGCCACGAACUCCUACAAUCUGUCAUCUGAGAAAGCCCCAGAAUACUGAGACAGGAGCCAGGCUCUGCCCUGUAAGCCAGGUGAGUGAUGAUUCUGUUUGUAAAAUUUUAGUUGCUCAGCAAUGACUGAUGGUGCUGCAGGUGAUUCUUGAAUUAUACUUUUGGUAAUCAGUUAUUCACUUUACAAACAUUUAUUUCUCUUCUUUGCUUUUCUUCUAGGUGAAACCAUCACUGCAAGAGACUAUAUUUAGGCCCACAGUGUGUCAGAAGGAUGACAUGUUCUAUACAACCUUUUCACCCUGUCUGCUUCUAUAUAUACAAGCGCCUCUGUAUAUGAAUUCCUGGAGGUUCUGUGACUUUUUAAAUAUUCCCCAGAGCUACCUUUGAAAACUGUGAGGUCACUUGGAUAGAAGCAGGAUUCAAAUGCAGAGUGUGAACACUCAAGAAGAGAUGCAGACUACAGUAGUUGCUAGCAUCUUUGAGCAUUAACUAUUCUCACUCAGAAUAUGGAGUAUUUAGAUAGCAGCUCCUGGAGGAGCCAGGAGGUUUUAGCAACAGAGUUGCCAGUUUACAUUUUAAUAACCAUGGGACAAGUCACCCUCUUCUUCCUGCAGUCUAUAACUCUGACUGCUCAGUGGACUUCCUGGGAACAAAUACAGCUGGAGGAGAUCAAACCCCAGUGUUGCUGGUAUGCGGGGCACAAGCUGCCCAGUGCCCCUCUUUCUCUGAGGAGCCAAUGAGGUGUUGGUGGUGUUGAGCUCUGAACUAGAGGUCAGGAUAUUUUGGUUGCUAAUUCUAGCUCUGCCACUUCCCUGCCAGGUGACUUCGUUGUAUCAGGUGACUGUAUGAGGCCUGCUGCUUCCCUGUGAACAGAAUAAGGGCUGUCCUUGGCGUUACUCUCAGCUCCAGAGUUCUAGAAGACUGAAUUAGCUUUGUCAUCCCAAAUUCUGGAAAUAAGCAGUGAAUGUUUAGAUGAUUAUAUACUUGGGAACUUUGUGUAGAGGUCCCAGACAUUUGGUAUUGGGUGGCAAAAUCUCAGAGCUAUGAAGUUUCACUCAAGUGCAAAGUCCCCAGAACUACUCACUUGUACAAUUUCUCUAAUGUGAAAUUCUUUGACAGAUAAUUUUAUCAUGUUGGAGGACAAUGACUUUUAUUAAACAAGUACUCUUUGAAAUCUAUUAGCACAC
This 2761-nucleotide long non-coding RNA is filed under the name Marmota monax (woodchuck). The record is from RNAcentral. Lineage: Eukaryota; Metazoa; Chordata; Mammalia; Rodentia; Sciuridae.